This 468-nucleotide long non-coding RNA is filed under the name Physcomitrium patens. RNAcentral's name for it is "long non-coding RNA (PPAT_LNC007435)". Lineage: Eukaryota; Viridiplantae; Streptophyta; Bryopsida; Funariales; Funariaceae. The record is from RNAcentral.
ACCUCAAAAUCCAAUAACUCCUUCAUUCCAUCUUAGAAUCUAGCGAGGAGUAUGUAAAAAGUGUAGCCACCAAAGUUUUCUUUCUAAUAGCACUCGCCGAUCCUCAAUUGCUAUCCGUAUGCAUGCGUUAUGCCAAAAAGAGUGAUAAUAGCUCCAAAAUCAACACCUUAACUUUGAGCGCCUAUAUCUCCUUCAUAGAAACUCCAAAUCAUACAAAACUUGUACCAAAACCAUAGCCAAAAACCUAAAAUUAUUGACCUUAGCCUUCAAAGUUCAAAUGGGCCGGAAAAACUAACCCUAAUCCCUAAUAUGGCCUCAGGCAGCCUCCUCAAAGCCCAAUGGUCAUGAUUUUUGACCAAUAGGAAUGGAGAUUUUCAUCAUCCAUCUCCAUUCAUCUAUAUUGGUGCCCUAAUUACUCCCUUUGCUACCAAAAUCCUUCUUCAAUCCUUUUUCUUAUAAGAUUUAUAU